This 253-nucleotide ribosomal RNA is filed under the name uncultured bacterium. Its description in RNAcentral is "partial 16S ribosomal RNA". It matches the Rfam family "Bacterial small subunit ribosomal RNA", at positions 524 to 776 of the family's 1533-position model. The record is from RNAcentral.
CACGUAGGUGGCGAGCGUUAUCCGGAUUUACUGGGCGUAAAGGGCACGCAGGCGGUCUUGAAAGUUUGGCGUGAAAUCUCCCGGCUUAACUGGGAGCGGUCGUUGAAAACUACAAGACUUGAGUCAAUGAGAGGGAUGCGGAAUUCCAGGUGUAGUGGUGGAAUGCGUAGAUAUCUGGAGGAACACCAGUGGCGAAAGCGGCAUCCUGGCAUUGUACUGACGCUCAUGUGCGAAAGCGUGGGUAGCGAACGGG